UUCAGGAGUGAAGCUGCUCUCUGCUGGACUGGGGAGUCCACACUGUACACUGGAAACUCUCAGCCUCAAUGGCUGUGAUCUGUCAAAGGGAUGCUUUGAAGGUCUGGCCUCAGUUCUCAGCUCCAACUCCUCUAGUCUGAGAGAGCUCGACCUGAGUACAAAUGAUCUGCAGGAUUCAGGAGUGAAGCUGCUCUCUGCUGGACUGGGGAGUCCACACUGUACACUGGAAACUCUCAGGUCAGUUUCACUCAAUGGUCAAACAGUUCCACCACAAUUUCCACAUCAAAGGACCAGUAUUGAUCUGCUGUGCCCCAGUAUUGAUCUGCUGUGCCCCAGUAUAAUCUCACGUCUGAGUUUCAACAAGAUCCAUAUUUGGCAGUGGAUUAAUUUAGACAGUAAAACAAUGGAUUAUUUUCUAAUCCACAACGUCAAAGCAACACUGUUUAACCAAAAGUACAAGCUGAGGCGCGUCAAAGCAACACUGUUUAACCAAAAGUACAAGCUGAGGCGCGCACCUUGCGGUCAGGGUCCGUACACUGCGGCGUGCACAUUACUGUCGGUGCACGGCAGUGUGCAUGUCUUAGCCGGUGCACCGCGGCGCGCACGCAGCAAUCCGUUGAUCCUGGUUCAUUUAAUAGUCUGAUGGAUAAAUGCUGCUUGUGAAAUCGAUUGUUGCCAUGCAUUCUUUUAUUUUACAUUUCCCACCCAUGCAUGUUCUGUAAUUAAAAUAAACAUUUCCCAGAUGUACACACAGCGUUGUUUAGGUUUUUUUAGUCAGAGAAGCUACGUAGGCAGUGUAUACCAUUCUCAACCCCCGUUUUGAGUAACUGGAUCCACCCCCCCUCUGCGCUCCGGGACGUCCCACUUUACAAAUUAACGUAAGCACUGAUAGGGGGUCUGUUUCUGUUUUUACCAGCAGCGCCGUGACAUCGCUUACCUCACCAACCAACUCUUCAUCCUCCUCCUCCUCCAUCAAAUACCUACUUACAAUAACCGGCUGCUGAUUGGAUAAAAUACUCCAUUUAGGAUUUAUUUUCUUCUCUUGGUCAUCCUGAAUAGUGCAUUUCUUUACAUGCUCUUGAAUAACGCUUGUGCUGCGGUGACAUUUAAAUGAAACUUUGCACAAAGUACAAACCAGUGUUUUAGUUUUCUGAUUAAAGCAGAGUGUCUACAGGGGAACUUAAGUGGGUCGUGUUUCCCAAUAGAGCAGUCACAUCGGCGCUGCAAUACAGCCGCUAUUUAACCCAGCACUGAACUAAACCUUGGCAGUCUGCGUGCAUCACAGCGCCAUUACCACUCAUCUUAUCAAACACAAGACCUCAAUCUCACUCUAUUUGUGUUGCCAUGAGAGUAAAAGGUGUACCUUGGAUUCAGUUUGUUAAUGAUGGUAUAAGGUGUUUGUUUUAUUAUAUUCCUAUUCUAUUCAUAAUCAUGUAGUCGGACAGUAAGGUGGACUUUAGAGUAGAGUUCUUCUUAGAACUGGCUCUUUUUAUGGACAUUUUCUGGAUUUUGCUGAAUCUUUAGUUAUCUGAAUUCAAAGUUUUUCAUAUUUUCAAGAUCUACUGUAUUGACAUUUAGUUGAACUAAAGAAACGUCUAAUAACAAAUUUCAAAUUCAACAUUAA
Molecule: long non-coding RNA, 1624 nt
Organism: Gadus morhua (Atlantic cod)
Lineage: Eukaryota; Metazoa; Chordata; Actinopteri; Gadiformes; Gadidae
Exons: 2
Source: RefSeq, a predicted model, not a curated record